UAGGGAAUCUUCCGCAAUGGACGAAAGUCUGACGGAGCAACGCCGCGUGAGUGAAGAAGGAUUUCGGUUCGUAAAACUCUGUUGUUAGGGAAGAAAAAAUGUAUAGUAACUAUAUACAAAAGAGACGGUACCUAACCAGAAAGCCACGGCUAACUACGUGCCAGCAGCCGCGGUAAUACGUAGGUGGCAAGCGUUGUCCGGAAUUAUUGGGCGUAAAGCGCGCGCAGGUGGUUUAGAAAGUCUGAUGUGAAAGCCCACGGCUCAACCGUGGAGGGUCAUUGGAAACUAAUUAACUUGAGUGCAGGAGAGAAAAGUGGAAUUCCUAGUGUAGCGGUGAAAUGCGUAGAGGUUAGGAGGAACAACGGUGGCGAAAGCGGCUUUUUGGCCUGCAACUGACACUGAGGCGCGAUAGAGUGGGGAGCAAACAGG
This 429-nucleotide ribosomal RNA is filed under the name Verrucomicrobiota bacterium. RNAcentral describes it as "Verrucomicrobia bacterium partial 16S ribosomal RNA". It matches the Rfam family "Bacterial small subunit ribosomal RNA", at positions 355 to 776 of the family's 1533-position model. The record is from RNAcentral. Lineage: Bacteria; Pseudomonadati; Verrucomicrobiota.